RNAcentral lists this ribosomal RNA (301 nucleotides) under uncultured bacterium. RNAcentral describes it as "partial 16S ribosomal RNA". It matches the Rfam family "Bacterial small subunit ribosomal RNA", at positions 509 to 807 of the family's 1533-position model. The record is from RNAcentral.
CAGUCGCCGCGGUAAUACGAAGGGUGCAAGCGUUACUCGGAAUUACUGGGCGUAAAGCGUGCGUAGGUGGUGGUUUAAGUCCGUUGUGAAAGCCCUGGGCUCAACUUGGGAAUUGCAGUGGAUACUGGGUCACUAGAGUGUGGUAGAGGAUAGUGGAAUUUCCGGUGUAGCAGUGAAAUGCGUAGAGAUCGGAAGGAACAUCUGUGGCGAAGGCGACUAUCUGGGCCAACACUGACACUGAGGCACGAAAGCGUGGGGAGCAAACAGGAUUAGAUACCCCCGUAGUCCCUGUCUCUUAUAC